Molecule: non-coding RNA, 30 nt
Filed under: Homo sapiens (human)
Lineage: Eukaryota; Metazoa; Chordata; Mammalia; Primates; Hominidae
Source: RNAcentral
GCUGUGUGAGUGAAGGUGACAGCUCAUCCC